This 860-nucleotide ribosomal RNA is filed under the name Paraburkholderia sp. RNAcentral's name for it is "bacterial SSU rRNA". It matches the Rfam family "Bacterial small subunit ribosomal RNA", at positions 17 to 874 of the family's 1533-position model. Lineage: Bacteria; Pseudomonadati; Pseudomonadota; Betaproteobacteria; Burkholderiales; Burkholderiaceae. The record is from RNAcentral.
ACCUCGCUCAGAUUGAACGCUGGCGGCAUGCCUUACACAUGCAAGUCGAACGGCAGCACGGGGGCAAUCCUGGUGGCGAGUGGCGAACGGGUGAGUAAUACAUCGGAACGUGUCCUGUAGUGGGGGAUAGCCCGGCGAAAGCCGGAUUAAUACCGCAUACGCUCUACGGAGGAAAGGGGGGGAUCUUAGGACCUCCCGCUACAGGGGCGGCCGAUGGCAGAUUAGCUAGUUGGUGGGGUAAAGGCCUACCAAGGCGACGAUCUGUAGCUGGUCUGAGAGGACGACCAGCCACACUGGGACUGAGACACGGCCCAGACUCCUACGGGAGGCAGCAGUGGGGAAUUUUGGACAAUGGGGGAAACCCUGAUCCAGCAAUGCCGCGUGUGUGAAGAAGGCCUUCGGGUUGUAAAGCACUUUUGUCCGGAAAGAAAACCUCUGGGUUAAUACCCCGGGGGGAUGACGGUACCGGAAGAAUAAGCACCGGCUAACUACGUGCCAGCAGCCGCGGUAAUACGUAGGGUGCAAGCGUUAAUCGGAAUUACUGGGCGUAAAGCGUGCGCAGGCGGUCCGCUAAGACAGAUGUGAAAUCCCCGGGCUUAACCUGGGAACUGCAUUUGUGACUGGCGGGCUAGAGUAUGGCAGAGGGGGGUAGAAUUCCACGUGUAGCAGUGAAAUGCGUAGAGAUGUGGAGGAAUACCGAUGGCGAAGGCAGCCCCCUGGGCCAAUACUGACGCUCAUGCACGAAAGCGUGGGGAGCAAACAGGAUUAGAUACCCUGGUAGUCCACGCCCUAAACGAUGUCAACUAGUUGUCGGGUCUUCAUUGACUUGGUAACGUAGCUAACGCGUGAAGUGACCGCCU